UGGGGAAUUUUGGACAAUGGGCGAAAGCCUGAUCCAGCCAUGCCGCGUGAGUGAAGAAGGCCUUCGGGUUGUAAAGCUCUUUUAGUCGGAAAGAAAGAGUUGCAAUGAAUAAUUGUGAUUUAUGACGGUACCGACAGAAAAAGCACCGGCUAACUACGUGCCAGCAGCCGCGGUAAUACGUAGGGUGCGAGCGUUAAUCGGAAUUACUGGGCGUAAAGGGUGCGCAGGCGGUCUUGCAAGUCGGAUGUGAAAGCCCCGGGCUUAACCUGGGAAUUGGGUUUGAAACUACAAGACUAGAGUGCAGCAGAGGGGAGUGGAAUUCCAUGUGUACCAGUGAAAUGCGUAGAGAUGUGGAAGAACACCGAUGGCGAAGGCAGCUCCCUGGGUUGACACUGACGCUCAUGCACGAAAGCGUGGGGAGCAAACA
Molecule: ribosomal RNA, 427 nt
Filed under: uncultured bacterium
Lineage: Bacteria
Description: bacterial SSU rRNA
Rfam family: Bacterial small subunit ribosomal RNA
Source: RNAcentral